AGUCUGCAGAUCGCGACAAGAGCCGCCAAGGACAGCCCAGCCAGGACGUCGCGUCGAAUUCAACAACAAUGGACGCAAGGCAUAGUCGCCCUGAUCAUCACGCUGCACACGGGGAUCACGAGGUAAAGAAUCGAGUUUAAGGUGGCUCCUUACAGCUGUCGAGAAAUUGCAUAAAAAAUAAAGUCUGCACAAUGACGCGAAAUAAUUUUCUAUUUAUGCAAAAUUAGGAAAGUAUCAACGGAAAGUAUAAACGCUUGUGCAAUCUUUAUACUUGAAGUACAUUUGAUCAAAAGAAACAAAUUAUGUGUUGGUAUGACGGGAUUCCGUUUAAAUUACACUUAUUGAUUUAAUAUGAAAUAUCAAUUUUAAAAGAACAUUAUUAACACGAUAUUGAACGUAAACCCGUAUAAAGACACCGUAGAAAACUGGGAAACAACAUACGUACAGUUUGAAUUUCAAAAUAUAUGUUGGAUAUAACUUGAAAUAAAAUACUGAAUAUUUUACCUGUUCUAGGCCCGUUUUUUUAAUUUCAUCACUACCAUGAAUGUAUAAUCAACAAUAUAAAUUAAAAAUAAAACUUUUUGCUACAACAUGCAUAUUGCCAGCUUUAAUUGGCAUGCGUUGCAAUCUUUCCAGCCGUGUAUUUUUUACUUUGUAUACGUUUUGGUACGUAAUCGUACCUGAAUGCCUGCACGCCUUCAAUUUUCGAGCUCGAAUUAACUUAUAAUAUUAACCAUAUAUUACUACAUAUUUAAUUUAGUCUGCGGAUCGAGGCAAGAGCCGCCAAGGGCCGCCCAGCCAGGACAUCGCGUCGAAUUCAGCAACAAUGAACGCAAUGGAUAGUCGCCCUGAUCAUCACGCUGCACACGGGAAUCACGAGGUAAAGAAUCGAGAUUAAGGUGGCUCCUUGCAUGCAGCUGUUGAGAAAUGGCAUAAAAAAUAGAGUCUUCACAACUGCCCGAAAUAAUUUGCUAUUUAUGAAAAAUAUAGAAAGUUAAACGGAAAGCA
Molecule: non-coding RNA, 1008 nt
Organism: Paramuricea clavata
Lineage: Eukaryota; Metazoa; Cnidaria; Anthozoa; Malacalcyonacea; Plexauridae
Source: the annotation of a GenBank genome assembly